This is a long non-coding RNA of Brassica napus (rape), 628 nucleotides long. RefSeq lists it as uncharacterized. The record is from RefSeq and is a predicted model, not a curated record. The transcript is spliced from 2 exons. NCBI's taxonomy places the organism in Eukaryota, Viridiplantae, Streptophyta, Magnoliopsida, Brassicales, Brassicaceae.
CCGGUGAGAGAAAGCAGCAGGUUUCAGUCAGCGUCGAAAGCGACGAUAUCUCUCAUCUCCAUCAUCAGACCAAAUCUCAAAGACUAAACCUUUCUUCUUCUUCCUUCCUCACGCGCCGUCUCUCAAACUCGUCUCCUUCAUUCCUCCAAUAUGGAACUAGAUUCAGACAACAACCUCUUAAAGACAGGUCUGGUCAUAACAGCAACACUCGUCAUAGCCAAACUCAUCUUCACCUUCUUCACUUCCUCCUCCAAGAAGAAGCGUCUUCCACCCACUCUCCAAGCCUAUCCUCCACUCAUCGGAAGCCUCCUCCGUUUCCUGAAAGGUCCCAUCGUAAUGCUGAGAGACGAGUACCCCAACCUCGGAAGCGUCUUCACAGGGCCGGCUCCAGAGCGGGUCCUAGGUUUUAGAAGGCUGGAAGCAAAUAAAAAAAUGUGGCUACUUAUCAAAAAAAAAAGAAAAAAAUCCUUACUACAGCAGAUUCGAACCCAGGACGCCGCAAAUAAGUCUAUUAUUUGUAUGCUAUACCACUAGACUAAAGAAGUUUUUAUGAAUUUUGUGGCCGAAAAUACUUGAUUAAAUUUUGUGGCCGGAAGCAUGGGCUUCAUUGGCUUGGCCCAAGGGCCCG